RNAcentral lists this long non-coding RNA (2300 nucleotides) under Phoenix dactylifera (date palm). Its description in RNAcentral is "long non-coding RNA (PDAC_LNC012263)". The record is from RNAcentral. Lineage: Eukaryota; Viridiplantae; Streptophyta; Magnoliopsida; Arecales; Arecaceae.
CGCUUAUCGGUACCGGUUCAGUGUACCUUGGUCAUGAUAAAUACUAAUAGUCUUGAUGUUUACUAAGCUAAUUUAUUGGCAUAAAGGAUGGUGGUACUACAAUUUCCGUGGUUUGAAGCUCCUCCUAGUAUCCAAACAUGGGUAUGAUAAACUCCUUAUAGUUUGCUCGUACUACUUAAUGACAUGAAAAUGAAUUGCUACUUAUUUGCUUUAUGUGAAUGCAUGAACAUGACAAAAAGUUACUCUCAAAAUUCACAAGCUGCGCAAUGAAGAUAAGAGAUGCAAACCAAGAGACAUUUCUGCUGGACUUAUUGAAAUUAGUUUCUAGUUGGUUUUGGCCAAGAUUGAUCCUUUUCUUUAAAGUAAUGAUUAGGCUCGCCUGAAUGCUUCCAUUAAGUAAAUGAAAGGAUGAUUGAUCUAUUCUCAAGCCUAAGAAUCCCUUAUAGGGUGCCAUUUCAGAGUUGAUUUUUUCUCAGUUUCUUUCUUUUGACAAUGAUGCUUAUUUGAUGCUGGGUUCUUGUCUUCUUGUUACUCCGGUUGGGUGCCUUAGUGUUAUUAGAGGUAGUUUUUGCAUUGUAGGACAACUAAAGUCAGCUUCAAAUAAUUAGGACAGCGUUUGAACAUUACUUACAGUUAUGAUACAAAUUUUCAAUUUUGCAAUGUAUAGUUUGCAACUUGAUAGGUUGGUCUUUCAUUUCCUAUAUUGCUCCAAGUUUGCCAUUGUCAAGUUACUGUGAAGAACGAAAAAUGUUAAUUUGGGUUAAUAUAGGCAGGUAAAAUAUGUUAUGAAAGAAGGCAUAUUGGUUGGUUGGUGUAACUUUUUUGUUACUUGAAGCAUACAAAUAUAUGUCAAUCAUUAGAUGUGAUAUAUGCUUGUCUGCUUUGGUUACUUGUGUUGUGGCGGACACUUCCUGCUUUUGGCAUUUUUCGAAUGUUAUGAAACUUUUUUUAGGUUACAGCUUACUGCUUAUCUUAUUUGUGUUUGCAUUUGUCAUGUUUGCCAGAUGUUCUAGUAGAAUGGCGUAAACAUAAGAUGCACUUGUUUAAUCAUCUCAGCUCUUCCAUAUAACAUUGAUGAGGAGGAUGUUGAUGAGUCAUCCAUAACAAGGAACCGGCAAGCAACUAAUAUAAUGGUUAAUCAAAUUUUGAAGAAGGAUGUACAUGCAAAAAAUCAAGUCCUAAUCAAAUGGCUAGGUCAAUGUGAUUGUCUAAUGUUAAAAUUUCUACUCUUCCUGAAAAGGAAGAUAUGGAACCAAUAGACCUGCUAAUGUAAGAAUUGUUUCAAAACUGCUACCAUAACUAUCACAAUGAUCUUGAUAAAAAAGUUGAAAUUUUUUUGUUCUUUUAUCAGAAUUAACUAGGUGUCAAUAGUUUUUAAGAAUAGAAGGUAUUUGAAAUUGAAUAGUAUCUGGUUAAGUUACUUAAUGUGGGUUUGUUUUGCAUGUGCACAUUUGUAGAUUCAAAGACAAAUAGAGGCACUCAUAUUUAUGAAAUUUAAUUCAUUUGUUUGGUCUUUAGCACUUUUUUUGAGUCAUCCUGAUGUAAACGAUUUAGUGUUUUGUGCAUCACAUAAAAAGAUUUACCAAACUUAUUCACAAACACUAAACUUGGAAAGGAAGGUAGUGAGGAGUUAAGGUUGUCGAGAGGGAUCAUUAGAGAUUGGGUAUCUCAGUCAAACCUCAUUCUGGUAGGAUUUAAUGUGCAUCUAUUAUGACCAUAUCUUCUUUUCCCCAAUUUUUCAAGGGGUUCCCAUGUGUCAUCUUAUGUUGGUUCUUCAAUGCACCAAACAGACUUGUAGUGACCAAUCAGGAAAGCUAGUCAUGAAGUAGGUAGGAGGGAGAGAAGUGUCGGGAAAGAAGAAGUUGUUUGAUUGGUGAUUCAAUCUUAGAAUUCAUGAAACUUAGGUGUAUUGGUUCGGCUUUAUUUUAUUUAAAGUAAUAUAUGCUCUUGGGUGUGUUGGUUCCGCUUUAUUUUAUUUAAAGUAAUAUAUGCUCAUGGAAUGGGGGUUUCAUGUAGCAAUAUGCAUUCUUGGUCCUUGCUACCCGAAACAGGCUCUGACUCCUAAACACUAGUUCCUGAAUCCCGAGGAAGAUGUCUUUGCUUGCAAUGUGCACAUUGAUAUAUAAGGUCCUUAGCAAAUUGCUGGAAAUGGCUAGGUUGAAGAAGGAACAUCUCUUGAUUUUAUCCUUUGAUGUCAAAAACUUCUCUUUAGAAAAGUUAUCAUGGAACAACAAACAAAAACAUCAAGUUUGAUCGUGAUCUUUAUAGUUACAUAUCAUCCAUUUCAUGUUCAGUUAGAU